This 891-nucleotide ribosomal RNA is filed under the name uncultured bacterium. RNAcentral describes it as "bacterial SSU rRNA". It matches the Rfam family "Bacterial small subunit ribosomal RNA", at positions 8 to 916 of the family's 1533-position model. The record is from RNAcentral.
AGAGUUUGAUCAUGGCUCAGGAUGAACGCUGGCGGCGUGCCUAAUCCAUGCAAGUCGAACGGAGACGAUAGCAAUAUUGUCUUAGUGGCGAACGGGUGAGUAACGCGUUGGUGACCUGCCCCGAAGCGGGGGAUAACAGACCGAAAGGUUUGCUAAUACCGCAUAAUUUGUUGAGAGUUAGAGAGCUUGACAAGAAAGCCGAAAGGCACUUUGGGAGGGGCCUGCGUCCCAUCAGCUAGUUGGUAAGGUAACGGCUUACCAAGGCGAUGACGGGUAGGGGACCUGAGAGGGUGGCCCCCCACAAUGGAACUGAAACACGGUCCAUACACCUACGGGUGGCAGCAGGAGGGAAUAUUGGUUAAUGUGCGAAAGCGCGAACCAGCAACGCCGCGUGUACGAUGAAGGCCUUCGGGUUGUAAAGUACUUUUCACCGGGAAGAGGAAGGACGGUACCGGUGGAAUAAGUCUCGGCUAACUACGUGCCAGCAGCCGCGGUAACACGUAGGAGACGAGCGUUAUCCGGAUUUACUGGGUGUAAAGCGCGUGCAGGCGGUUUGUUAAGUUGGAUGUGGAAGCUCCCGGCUAAACUGGGAGAGGUCGUUCAAAACUGGCAGACUAGAGUGUGGUAGAGGGGAGUGGAAUUCCGAGUGUAGCGGUAAAAUGCAUAGAUAUUCGGAAGAACACCAGUGGCGAAGGCGACUUCCUGGACCACAACUGACGCUCAGACGCGAAAGCCAGGGUAGCAAACGGGAUUAGAGACCCCGGUAGUCCUGGCAGUAAACGAUGUGAACUUGGCGUUGGUGGGAUAAAACCUAUCAGUGCCGAAGCAAACGCGAUAAGUUCACCACCUGGGGACUACGGCCGCAAGGUUAAAACUCAAAGGAAUUGACGG